Molecule: ribosomal RNA, 301 nt
Filed under: uncultured bacterium
Lineage: Bacteria
Description: partial 16S ribosomal RNA
Rfam family: Bacterial small subunit ribosomal RNA
Source: RNAcentral
CAGUAGCCGCGGUAAGACGGAGGGUGCUAGCGUUGUUCGGAAUCACUGGGCGUAAAGGGCGCGUAGGCGGCCUGUUAAGUCGGAUGUGAAAUCCCUGAGCUUAACUUAGGAAUUGCAUUCGAUACUGGGAAGCUAGAGUAUGGGAGAGGAUGGUAGAAUUCCAGGUGUAGCGGUGAAAUGCGUAGAGAUCUGGAGGAAUACCGAUGGCGAAGGCAGCCAUCUGGCCUAAUACUGACGCUGAGGUACGAAAGCAUGGGGAGCAAACAGGAUUAGAUACCCCCGUAGUCCCUGUCUCUUAUAC